CAAACCGGCAGGAAUUAAAUAUGCAUUCAAUGAAUCCUGCUGUGAAGUGUUUGUUAGCACGCCAACAUCCCAUGGCCACAUCAGCCUGUGUCUCAGGACCCAGCAGUGGGUAGCUGUCACGUAUUUCCAUUAAAAGAGAUCAUGCAGAGAGUUGCUGUCACACUUGCGUGACGUUCUAGCCUGGGCAGAGGACCCUCCUCACCGUGAAGGAGAGCACUGUUCCUGCUGGUGGAAGCUUUCUUUCAUGCAGCAUUCCAUAAGGCAUUCUGAAACCUUCAGAGUUGUUGCCAACUGCAUCAGCCGGAGGAAGUCCAG
Molecule: long non-coding RNA, 315 nt
Filed under: Gallus gallus (chicken)
Lineage: Eukaryota; Metazoa; Chordata; Aves; Galliformes; Phasianidae
Description: lncRNA (ENSGALG00010023725.1)
Source: RNAcentral